UGGGGAAUAUUGGACAAUGGGCGAAAGCCUGAUCCAGCCAUGCCGCGUGAGUGACGAAGGCCUUAGGGUUGUAAAACUCUUUCGUCGGGGACGAUAAUGACGGUACCCGAAGAAGAAGCUCCGGCUAACUUCGUGCCAGCAGCCGCGGUAAUACGAAGGGAGCUAGCGUUGUUCGGAAUCACUGGGCGUAAAGCGCACGUAGGCGGAUAGUUAAGUCAGGGGUGAAAUCCUGGGGCUCAACCCCAGAACUGCCUUUGAUACUGGCUGUCUCGAGGUCGAGAGAGGUUGGUGGAAUUCCUAGUGUAGAGGUGAAAUUCGUAGAUAUUAGGAAGAACACCAGUGGCGAAGGCGGCCAACUGGCUCGAUACUGACGCUGAGGUGCGAAAGCGUGGGGAGCAAACAGGAUUAGAUACCCCAGUAGUCCCUGAG
RNAcentral lists this ribosomal RNA (429 nucleotides) under uncultured bacterium. Its description in RNAcentral is "bacterial SSU rRNA". It matches the Rfam family "Bacterial small subunit ribosomal RNA", at positions 355 to 801 of the family's 1533-position model. The record is from RNAcentral.